CCUACGGGAGCUGCAGUGGGGAACAUUGCACAAUGGGCGCAAGCCUGAUGCCGCCAUGCCGCGUGUGUGAAGAAGGCCUUCGGGUUGUAAAGCACUUUCAGCGGGGAGGAAGGCGGUGAGGUUAAUAACCUCAUCGAUUGACGUUACCCGCAGAAGAAGCACCGGCUAACUCCGUGCCAGCAGCCGCGGUAAUACGGAGGGUGCAAGCGUUAAUCGGAAUUACUGGGCGUAAAGCGCACGCAGGCGGUCUGUCAAGUCGGAUGUGAAAUCCCCGGGCUCAACCUGGGAACUGCAUUCGAAACUGGCAGGCUAGAGUCUUGUAGAGGGGGGUAGAAUUCCAGGUGUAGCGGUGAAAUGCGUAGAGAUCUGGAGGAAUACCGGUGGCGAAGGCGGCCCCCUGGACAAAGACUGACGCUCAGGUGCGAAAGCGUGGGGAGCAAACAGGAUUAGAUACCCGAGAGUC
Molecule: ribosomal RNA, 463 nt
Filed under: uncultured Klebsiella sp.
Lineage: Bacteria; Pseudomonadati; Pseudomonadota; Gammaproteobacteria; Enterobacterales; Enterobacteriaceae
Description: bacterial SSU rRNA
Rfam family: Bacterial small subunit ribosomal RNA
Source: RNAcentral